CAGCGAUUAGAGACCAGGUUUUGUGUUUGUCUCUGUGUAUGUGUGUGUGUUUUGUGUGUGUGCGCUCGCGUGUAUGGGUGUGUGUGCGGCAGGGACACAAAUAUGUAAAGACCUGUAUGAUAUCAAUAAUCUUCGCCUGAUUUUUAGAGUUUAUUGGGUUGUUUGGGGUAAACUUGAGCUCUUAAACACCUGUAACACGCUGGUUGGUACCAUAACGUAGUUACAAGGUGUACGGUAGUAUUAUACUGUAACCGUAUGAACUUCUAAUCAGAUCAUUUCAGUACAGGAAACCAGAAACAUGUACAGGGAGGUCCGAAAGUCUUGUCACCCCCUACCAAAAAGUAAUAAGAACGAAAGAGGAACAAUAUAAUAAUAUCAAACAUGUCCUAGUUUUAGUAUAUUCAUUUCCAUUGAUACUGACACUGUCACACAUCGAGGUCUGUAUAAACACCAUCAUUUUCGUGGCACAAAAUGUCCCGUGUGAUAUUUUACGAAGUUGUUGGUGUUCAUACAGAUGUGUAACAGUGAAAGUGAAUAUACUAAAACAAGUAAAUGUGUCUGAUAAAACAAGUGCAUGUGUCUGACGCUAUUGUUCAGUGACCGGAAGUGUCUGACGUGUGGGUUUAUGCCGAACAACUGAUGUCAGGUGGAGGAAGAGUACAGCUGUCGACUGAAUCUAUAGUGAAAAUUAACCCAUCGGAUUUCUUAACGAAAGAAGGAGAAAAAAUGGAAGAAAAUAUGCGACGCUAUCAUCUUUUACUUGAAAAAAAAAGUGUAUAAAAAGACUCGCAUACCCUUUGCUCUAACUGAUUCUAUCAAGAAACAGAGAAUUUCUCCAUUCUAAGCAAGCUAGAUUUAUCUAUUUAUUUAUUUAUUUAUUUAUUUAUUUAUGCGUAUACGUAUAUGUGUGAUAGUUUUUUUGAAGUUGUUUCUGUAGAGUACAUUGAAGAGGAGGAGAAGAAGAAGGUGGAGGAGACGAAUGAGGGGAAGUCGAAUUAUAAAUAUACAAUAUACUUGACUGCGAGCUAUUUUUAUUUUUAUUUUCAUUUAUCGUUUUAGUCAUU
Octopus bimaculoides (California two-spot octopus) is the source of this 1064-nucleotide long non-coding RNA. RefSeq lists it as uncharacterized. The record is from RefSeq and is a predicted model, not a curated record. NCBI's taxonomy places the organism in Eukaryota, Metazoa, Mollusca, Cephalopoda, Octopoda, Octopodidae.